CCUACGGGUGGCUGCAGUGGGGAAUAUUGGACAAUGGGGGCAACCCUGAUCCAGCCAUGCCGCGUGUGUGAAGAAGGCCCUCGGGUUGUAAAGCACUUUCAGUGAGGAAGAACGCCUGGUGGUUAAUACCCAUCAGGAAAGACAUCACUCACAGAAGAAGCACCGGCUAACUCCGUGCCAGCAGCCGCGGUAAUACGGAGGGUGCGAGCGUUAAUCGGAAUUACUGGGCGUAAAGCGCGCGUAGGUGGCUUGAUAAGCCGGUUGUGAAAGCCCCGGGCUCAACCUGGGAACGGCAUCCGGAACUGUCAAGCUGGAGUGCAGGAGAGGAAGGUAGAAUUCCCGGUGUAGCGGUGAAAUGCGUAGAGAUCGGGAGGAAUACCAGUGGCGAAGGCGGCCUUCUGGACUGACACUGACACUGAGGUGCGAAAGCGUGGGUAGCAAACAGGAUUAGAUACCCGAGUAGUC
This 465-nucleotide ribosomal RNA is filed under the name Vreelandella stevensii. RNAcentral's name for it is "partial 16S ribosomal RNA". It matches the Rfam family "Bacterial small subunit ribosomal RNA", at positions 338 to 795 of the family's 1533-position model. Lineage: Bacteria; Pseudomonadati; Pseudomonadota; Gammaproteobacteria; Oceanospirillales; Halomonadaceae. The record is from RNAcentral.